UACAACCUUCUUAAAUUGAUUAUAUACUACUCGAUGACCAAAUCAAAACUAAUGAGUGUAGUAUGAUGGUUUAGGUUUUAUACCUCUAUCUUUUGGUUUCUAAAAUCUGUAGCACAAGUUACAAAAACAGUGUAUUUUUUUCUUUUGAGUAAAUUUAAGAUAUAUUCAAAAACAAAUGUGAGGUUUGUUAAUUGUUCAUAUAUUUUAUUGUAAGGUGAAAGUGUCUCCACCCAUUGUGAUUCCCCUUGAAUGGCAAGAAAACUCAUUUAUUUUACAGUUUUUGUUAUUAUUCUGGAUUCCGGUAGAUGAUUUUUCUGGUUACUAGUUUAUGGCCCAUGUUAUGCAUGGGAAAAAUGAUUGUAAAAGUAUCCAUGCCAAAAUGAGUGUUCAAAAAAAAAAAAAAAGUAUCCAUGCCAAAAUGAUUGUUCAAAGUGUCUUCAAUUAUAAGAGAAUAAAAAUGUGUUUUAUUGGCA
This 473-nucleotide long non-coding RNA is filed under the name Brassica napus (rape). RNAcentral's name for it is "long non-coding RNA (BNAP_LNC010223)". Lineage: Eukaryota; Viridiplantae; Streptophyta; Magnoliopsida; Brassicales; Brassicaceae. The record is from RNAcentral.